AGCGUACACGGUGGAUGCCCUGGCAGUCAGAGGCGAUGAAGGACGUGCUAAUCUGCGAUAAGCGUCGGUAAGGUGAUAUGAACCGUUAUAACCGGCGAUUUCCGAAUGGGGAAACCCAGUGUGUUUCGACACACUAUCAUUAACUGAAUCCAUAGGUUAAUGAGGCGAACCGGGGGAACUGAAACAUCUAAGUACCCCGAGGAAAAGAAAUCAACCGAGAUUCCCCCAGUAGCGGCGAGCGAACGGGGAGGAGCCCAGAGCCUGAAUCAGUGUGUGUGUUAGUGGAAGCGUCUGGAAAGGCGCGCGAUACAGGGUGACAGCCCCGUACACAAAAAUGCACAUGCUGUGAGCUCGAUGAGUAGGGCGGGACACGUGGUAUCCUGUCUGAAUAUGGGGGGACCAUCCUCCAAGGCUAAAUACUCCUGACUGACCGAUAGUGAACCAGUACCGUGAGGGAAAGGCGAAAAGAACCCCGGCGAGGGGAGUGAAAAAGAACCUGAAACCGUGUACGUACAAGCAGUGGGAGCACGCUUAGGCGUGUGACUGCGUACCUUUUGUAUAAUGGGUCAGCGACUUAUAUUCUGUAGCAAGGUUAACCGAAUAGGGGAGCCGAAGGGAAACCGAGUCUUAACUGGGCGUUAAGUUGCAGGGUAUAGACCCGAAACCCGGUGAUCUAGCCAUGGGCAGGUUGAAGGUUGGGUAACACUAACUGGAGGACCGAACCGACUAAUGUUGAAAAAUUAGCGGAUGACUUGUGGCUGGGGGUGAAAGGCCAAUCAAACCGGGAGAUAGCUGGUUCUCCCCGAAAGCUAUUUAGGUAGCGCCUCGUGAAUUCAUCUCCGGGGGUAGAGCACUGUUUCGGCAAGGGGGUCAUCCCGACUUACCAACCCGAUGCAAACUGCGAAUACCGGAGAAUGUUAUCACGGGAGACACACGGCGGGUGCUAACGUCCGUCGUGAAGAGGGAAACAACCCAGACCGCCAGCUAAGGUCCCAAAGUCAUGGUUAAGUGGGAAACGAUGUGGGAAGGCCCAGACAGCCAGGAUGUUGGCUUAGAAGCAGCCAUCAUUUAAAGAAAGCGUAAUAGCUCACUGGUCGAGUCGGCCUGCGCGGAAGAUGUAACGGGGCUAAACCAUGCACCGAAGCUGCGGCAGCGACGCUGAUGCGUUGUUGGGUAGGGGAGCGUUCUGUAAGCCUGCGAAGGUGUGCUGUGAGGCAUGCUGGAGGUAUCAGAAGUGCGAAUGCUGACAUAAGUAACGAUAAAGCGGGUGAAAAGCCCGCUCGCCGGAAGACCAAGGGUUCCUGUCCAACGUUAAUCGGGGCAGGGUGAGUCGACCCCUAAGGCGAGGCCGAAAGGCGUAGUCGAUGGGAAACAGGUUAAUAUUCCUGUACUUGGUGUUACUGCGAAGGGGGGACGGAGAAGGCUAUGUUGGCCGGGCGACGGUUGUCCCGGUUUAAGCGUGUAGGCUGGUUUUCCAGGCAAAUCCGGAAAAUCAAGGCUGAGGCGUGAUGACGAGGCACUACGGUGCUGAAGCAACAAAUGCCCUGCUUCCAGGAAAAGCCUCUAAGCAUCAGGUAACAUCAAAUCGUACCCCAAACCGACACAGGUGGUCAGGUAGAGAAUACCAAGGCGCUUGAGAGAACUCGGGUGAAGGAACUAGGCAAAAUGGUGCCGUAACUUCGGGAGAAGGCACGCUGAUAUGUAGGUGAAGUCCCUCGCGGAUGGAGCUGAAAUCAGUCGAAGAUACCAGCUGGCUGCAACUGUUUAUUAAAAACACAGCACUGUGCAAACACGAAAGUGGACGUAUACGGUGUGACGCCUGCCCGGUGCCGGAAGGUUAAUUGAUGGGGUCAGCGCAAGCGAAGCUCUUGAUCGAAGCCCCGGUAAACGGCGGCCGUAACUAUAACGGUCCUAAGGUAGCGAAAUUCCUUGUCGGGUAAGUUCCGACCUGCACGAAUGGCGUAAUGAUGGCCAGGCUGUCUCCACCCGAGACUCAGUGAAAUUGAACUCGCUGUGAAGAUGCAGUGUACCCGCGGCAAGACGGAAAGACCCCGUGAACCUUUACUAUAGCUUGACACUGAACAUUGAGCCUUGAUGUGUAGGAUAGGUGGGAGGCUUUGAAGUGUGGACGCCAGUCUGCAUGGAGCCGACCUUGAAAUACCACCCUUUAAUGUUUGAUGUUCUAACGUUGACCCGUGAUCCGGGUUGCGGACAGUGUCUGGUGGGUAGUUUGACUGGGGCGGUCUCCUCCUAAAGAGUAACGGAGGAGCACGAAGGUUGGCUAAUCCUGGUCGGACAUCAGGAGGUUAGUGCAAUGGCAUAAGCCAGCUUGACUGCGAGCGUGACGGCGCGAGCAGGUGCGAAAGCAGGUCAUAGUGAUCCGGUGGUUCUGAAUGGAAGGGCCAUCGCUCAACGGAUAAAAGGUACUCCGGGGAUAACAGGCUGAUACCGCCCAAGAGUUCAUAUCGACGGCGGUGUUUGGCACCUCGAUGUCGGCUCAUCUCAUCCUGGGGCUGUAGCCGGUCCCAAGGGUAUGGCUGUUCGCCAUUUAAAGAGGUACGUGAGCUGGGUUUAAAACGUCGUGAGACAGUUUGGUCCCUAUCUACCGCGGGCGCUGGAAGAUUGACAGGGGCUGCUCCUAGUACGAGAGGACCGGAGUGGACGCACCUCUGGUGUAUCGGUUGUGACGCCAGUCGCAUUGCCGAGUAGCUAUGUGCGGAAGAGAUAACCGCUGAAAGCAUCUAAGCGGGAAACUUGCCUGAAGAUUAGUCUUCCCGGAGGCUUGACCUCCCUGAAGGGUCGUCCGAGACCAGGACGUUGAUAGGCCAGGUGUGGAAGCGCUGUGAGGCGUGAAGCUAACUGGUACUAAUUGCCCGUGCGGCUUGAUC
RNAcentral lists this ribosomal RNA (2888 nucleotides) under metagenome. RNAcentral describes it as "bacterial LSU rRNA". It matches the Rfam family "Bacterial large subunit ribosomal RNA". The record is from RNAcentral.